RNAcentral lists this long non-coding RNA (588 nucleotides) under Vulpes vulpes (red fox). RNAcentral's name for it is "lncRNA (ENSVVUG00000010742.1)". Lineage: Eukaryota; Metazoa; Chordata; Mammalia; Carnivora; Canidae. The record is from RNAcentral.
CCUGGAAGGAAUAUAAGGGCUGCUGUCCAGUGUCUUUUACAUCACGCUUUGAGGUGGCUGUCCAGGAAACUACUGCCUUGAGAAAAUUGCACUCCAAGGGGAAGAGCCAAACUCGAAGAAACCAGAGCCGUGUGCCUUGGUACGGAAAUAAGUCAUAGAUUAUAUUCUUCCUCGAGUGAAAUACUAUUCCAACUGAAUAUUUAUAUUCUUCCCUCCACUAAAAUGCUAUUGAAAAUGAAUGUGAUUCUUGUGGGAAUUCGAACAUUGCAUAUUGUCCAGUUGACAGAGUCAUUUAUAAAAGUUGGGAUAUCUUAUACCCCAUCCGGGCUUAAUUAGAGUUUAUAAAGAUCACUGGCAGUUGCAAUAGAAAUAUUGUAUGUUUCCUCCCCCCGGUGACUUUCCCUAGUUCUUUUAUGAGGGCCUUUAAAACUCAUUUAAGUCUCGCUGAAGUUAUUCAUAAAGAUAGAUACCAGCCAUUCUCCGGGAGAGUCUGAUCCUCCGCACCUUCCUCUUCCCCCAACAUUUCUUGGAUAACUGCACACAGGUCAGUUCCAAAUUCUGUCGCUUCCCCUAAUAGGCUUUUCAAAG